GCCAGCAUGAUGUAGUGGUUUGAAUGUUGGGCUACAAAUCUGAAGAUCAGGGUUCAAUUCCCUACUCAGCCA
Non-coding RNA from Phrynosoma platyrhinos (Desert horned lizard), 72 nucleotides. Lineage: Eukaryota; Metazoa; Chordata; Lepidosauria; Squamata; Phrynosomatidae. The record is from the annotation of a GenBank genome assembly.